Molecule: ribosomal RNA, 459 nt
Filed under: uncultured bacterium
Lineage: Bacteria
Description: partial 16S ribosomal RNA
Rfam family: Bacterial small subunit ribosomal RNA
Source: RNAcentral
CCUACGGGAGGCAGCAGUGAGGAAUAUUGGUCAAUGGGCGCGAGUCUGAACCAGCCAAGUCGCGUGAGGGAUGACGGUCCUAUGGAUUGUAAACCUCUUUUGUCAGGGAGCAAAGCGCGCUACGUGUGUUCCUUUGCGAGUACCUUACGAAUAAGCAUCGGCUAACUCCGUGCCAGCAGCCGCGGUAAUACGGAGGAUCCGAGCGUUAUCCGGAUUUAUUGGGUUUAAAGGGUGCGUAGGCGGAAUGCCAAGUCAGCGGUAAAAUCGCGGGGCUCAACCCGGAUCCGCCGUUGAAACUGGUGUUCUUGAGUGGGCGAGAAGUAGGCGGAAUGCGUGGUGUAGCGGUGAAAUGCAUAGAUAUCACGCAGAACUCCGAUUGCGAAGGCAGCAUACCAAGGCACAACUGACGCUGAAGCACGAAAGCGUGGGUAGCGAACAGGAUUAGAUACCCGAGUAGUC